RNAcentral lists this transfer RNA (77 nucleotides) under Pseudomonadota bacterium. RNAcentral's name for it is "tRNA-Met". It matches the Rfam family "tRNA". Rfam says of the family: Transfer RNA (tRNA) molecules are approximately 80 nucleotides in length. The record is from RNAcentral. RNAcentral also lists the same sequence under 1 other name. Lineage: Bacteria; Pseudomonadati; Pseudomonadota.
CGCGGGGUGGAGCAGUCUGGUAGCUCAUCAGGCUCAUAACCUGAAGGUCAGCCGUUCAAAUCGGCUCCCCGCAACCA